RNAcentral lists this ribosomal RNA (637 nucleotides) under uncultured bacterium. Its description in RNAcentral is "bacterial SSU rRNA". It matches the Rfam family "Bacterial small subunit ribosomal RNA", at positions 607 to 1244 of the family's 1533-position model. The record is from RNAcentral.
GCUUAACCGGAGAAGUGCAUCGGAAACUGGAUAACUUGAGUGCAGAAGAGGGUAGUGGAACUCCAUGUGUAGCGGUGGAAUGCGUAGAUAUAUGGAAGAACACCAGUGGCGAAGGCGGCUACCUGGUCUGCAACUGACGCUGAGACUCGAAAGCAUGGGUAGCGAACAGGAUUAGAUACCCUGGUAGUCCAUGCCGUAAACGAUGAGUGCUAGGUGUUGGAGGGUUUCCGCCCUUCAGUGCCGGAGCUAACGCAUUAAGCACUCCGCCUGGGGAGUACGACCGCAAGGUUGAAACUCAAAGGAAUUGACGGGGGCCCGCACAAGCGGUGGAGCAUGUGGUUUAAUUCGAAGCUACGCGAAGAACCUUACCAGGUCUUGACAUCUUGCGCCAACCCUAGAGAUAGGGCGUUUCCUUCGGGAACGCAAUGACAGGUGGUGCAUGGUCGUCGUCAGCUCGUGUCGUGAGAUGUUGGGUUAAGUCCUGCAACGAGCGCAACCCUUAUUAUCAGUUGCCAGCAUUCAGUUGGGCACUCUGGUGAGACUGCCGGUGACAAACCGGAGGAAGGUGGGGAUGACGUCAAAUCAUCAUGCCCCUUAUGACCUGGGCUACACACGUGCUACAAUGGACGGUACAACG